RNAcentral lists this ribosomal RNA (434 nucleotides) under uncultured Lentzea sp. RNAcentral's name for it is "bacterial SSU rRNA". It matches the Rfam family "Bacterial small subunit ribosomal RNA", at positions 958 to 1392 of the family's 1533-position model. The record is from RNAcentral. Lineage: Bacteria; Bacillati; Actinomycetota; Actinomycetes; Pseudonocardiales; Pseudonocardiaceae.
AACGCGAAGAACCUUACCUGGGCUUGACAUGCACUGGAAACCAGUAGAGAUAUUGGCCCCCUUGUGGCCGGUGUACAGGUGGUGCAUGGCUGUCGUCAGCUCGUGUCGUGAGAUGUUGGGUUAAGUCCCGCAACGAGCGCAACCCUCGUUCCAUGUUGCCAGCACGUAAUGGUGGGGACUCAUGGGAGACUGCCGGGGUCAACUCGGAGGAAGGUGGGGAUGACGUCAAGUCAUCAUGCCCCUUAUGUCCAGGGCUUCACACAUGCUACAAUGGCCGGUACAAAGGGCUGCUAAGCCGUGAGGUGGAGCGAAUCCCAUAAAGCCGGUCUCAGUUCGGAUCGGGGUCUGCAACUCGACCCCGUGAAGUCGGAGUCGCUAGUAAUCGCAGAUCAGCAACGCUGCGGUGAAUACGUUCCCGGGCCUUGUACACACCG